Long non-coding RNA from Salmo salar (Atlantic salmon), 1943 nucleotides. RefSeq lists it as uncharacterized. NCBI's taxonomy places the organism in Eukaryota, Metazoa, Chordata, Actinopteri, Salmoniformes, Salmonidae. The record is from RefSeq and is a predicted model, not a curated record.
AAAGAGAAACACUCUCAGGCUCAUUGACUGUAGCCAGUGCAAGAGGGCCAAAUGACAAAUACGGCUGUGUAAGAUGGCAACCUGACUUUCCCACAGAAGAAACGGAAGACACUUUGGAUGCAAAGCAUAAGGAAAUGAAGCAGCUUUAUUCCAAAGAAGGGCCUACAGGAGGUGACAGAGGACAACUCUCGCAGCUCAUGCAAGCAACAUUUUACUUACAGCGCUGUGCCAUCAACGCUAGCCCAGCACCUAAGAUAGCCGAGCUGAGGAAUAAGUGGCCAUACCUUUUCACACAGAAGGAACUCUACAACCACUUCAAGUUACUGAAAGAUGUCUCAAUCCUGGAAAAGAAUUAUGCAACGAUGGCAGAAAAAGGAAAGAUUAUCAUACAAUACUUCCUGUACAAACCAACAAAUGAAGAAGUUCGGCACAUCCUGUCAAGUUUUGAAAAGGGUGGAGCGACUGCAUUUAGCCAUUGUGUUGUCCUCCUGCUGAUGGCCCAUUUCAAAGAAAGGACAGAUGCACUCCUUCUACUGGCCGAUGUUUUACAUUCAUCUGCAUCUUAUGCAUAAGAUAAUAAUUUUCUAUGUAUUUUAGAAGACUGAUUGUUCAAGGGGACAUAAUGACUGGAUGAUGAUGAAAUGGAUGAUGAGCACUGAGAUAGAGGUGGUAAUGUCGGUCCACUCAAACUUUGUGGAAGCGCUGGCAGCUUUUUUUGCCUCAUUUACACCUACAAUCUGCAAUACCAAGAGGAGGCUUCACGCACCCUAAAGUUCAUCCAAAGAUGUUUUGCUGGAAUCAAUGCAUCCACUGGCUUGAAGACCGCCACAGCAGAGGUCAUCAGCAAGAAAAGCGGAAAGAUAUUGGAGAAGAGCCACACAAUGAAUGUACGUGUCUGUACUCUGCUCAGGAAGAUAAUGGACUUAGAAAAGCUAUAGGCUAGUUCCUAUUGGCCAUACAUUUAAUUUAUUUUUGUCAAUUGUGACCUGCUCAAGUAAGUUUGGUUUGUCACUGGGGUUGGCUCUUCUUUUGUGUUUAACACAAAACACAAAAGUGUUUUCAAGUGUUUGAAAAUUAUCCAGUAUGCCCUGAAAUUGACACAUUGUUGAGGAAGUAAUGCUAUUUUGGAUUUUUGGAAAUGUCUGGCAUUUACUCAACUUGAGUAGGCAACCUUUAUUAAAGCUUGAGCAUGUAGUUUUGGGAAGGGCAUAAUUAGAAAUCUGGGAAUAGGACAAAAUAUCCAUUGAUCUUUUCUGACCUUAAUCUCACAAUUAUAAAGUCUAAUUACCCUUCCCAAAAUGACAUACUCUGUGUUUAACCUGGGAGUGAAGGUAAUGACAAACCUAAGAUAAGGCCAGGCAGAGAGCAGGCCUACUACCCCUCUUAGCAGGAAACAAGAUAAAAAAAAUAUUUAGCUCAAAGCGAGGAAAUGUGAUUUUUGAGUUACCUGUGUGUGAAAAGUCAUUUUUAUUUCAAAAGCUAAGAUAUGUACAGUAUACCAGUGCUUUUCUUAUCUGUAAUUGUCACUUUCUAUGCUGGAACAGUUAUAAACAUGCACCUUAUUCAGGACGUUGAUAUAUUUUGAAAAUUGAUACACUUGAAACCUUUUUGUUGAAAAAAAAAUGGCUUUGCAUCUGAAUGCAGAAUAGCCUUGUGACAAACUAUCAGUAUUUGUUUAUGUCACAUACAAGCUACAAUAUCAUACCAAUACUGUUAAGAUUAACAAUUGUAUUUUGUCCUAAUGAAUCAUUUAAAAAUGUACACUUUUUGAUAGGUGCUUGGGGAAAGGUGUAGGUUUGUCAUUGAGGCAUUUAUGAUGCAGCCCAUUUGGCUCUAGUUUAUUGGCAUUUCCCACCUAGUAAUGGUGAAGUUGAACUAUGGGAGCUUAUUGAAAGUGUUUGAAACUUUUUUGAUUUGUUUACAUUAAACCAUGCUUACGAACA